Molecule: transfer RNA, 65 nt
Filed under: Hydaropsis longirostris
Lineage: Eukaryota; Metazoa; Arthropoda; Insecta; Hemiptera; Coreidae
Also listed under: 1 other name
Description: tRNA-Trp
Source: RNAcentral
AAAGCUUUAAGUUAAAUAAACUAUUAACCUUCAAAGUUAAAAAUAUAUCUCUAUUAUAAGCUUUA